Molecule: long non-coding RNA, 268 nt
Organism: Nothoprocta perdicaria
Lineage: Eukaryota; Metazoa; Chordata; Aves; Tinamiformes; Tinamidae
Exons: 2
Source: RefSeq, a predicted model, not a curated record
CUUGCAAGCUGAUGAGACCCAUUUAUUCAUCUUUCCGACUGCAGUGCUGUGAGCRAGCAGCUCCCCAACCCCUUGGGACUGGCACCACAUUGGCCUUUCAGGAGCGCUCAGAGGUGCCGGCAGUACCAUAUUUCUACUGUCAUCUUUAUCUGUUCUACUCUGCUCUGACCCACCUGUACUCAUAAAGACCCUGAUGAAGUGACAACCUUCAGGCAGGAGCACCCGAUGGCAGGACAGUCACCCCAUGUACAGGCACUGGAAGCAGCCC